RNAcentral lists this transfer RNA (83 nucleotides) under Cliona patera. Its description in RNAcentral is "tRNA-Leu". It matches the Rfam family "tRNA". Rfam says of the family: Transfer RNA (tRNA) molecules are approximately 80 nucleotides in length. Lineage: Eukaryota; Metazoa; Porifera; Demospongiae; Clionaida; Clionaidae. The record is from RNAcentral.
GCCAUUGUGGUGGAAUGGUAGACACAUUAGAUUUAAAAUCUAACGGCAGAGUUGCUAUAUGAGUUCAAGUCUCAUCAAUGGUA